Small nuclear RNA from Protopterus annectens (West African lungfish), 105 nucleotides. NCBI's taxonomy places the organism in Eukaryota, Metazoa, Chordata, Ceratodontiformes, Protopteridae. The record is from RefSeq and is a predicted model, not a curated record.
AUAAUCUAUGGCAGCACAUAUACUAAAACUGGAAAGAUACAGAGAAGAUUAGCAUGGCUCCUGCACAGGGACGACACACAAAUUUGUGAAGUGUUCCAUAUGGGA